GACGCGACUUUUAACAUUUACGCAAAUCGUUUACACGCAUUUGUUUGUGGUACGUACAAGCUAAAUAUCGUUAACUAUAUAGUAAAAGAAAUAUAAUGUUAUUUACUUACAAAUUUGCGAUCAAUUCUUUGCGGGUACCGACAGCUAGUCACCCUAAUCGCAAGUAAAACUCAAACACGAGUCAUCGAACAUUGGAGGCUUUCUGUUGUCAUUCUUUUUUCUCGAUUUACACGUAAUCUAUAUCUGAUAUGGACGUAAUGUAUACAUAUAUAUGUAUAUAUACACAUAUACAGAGAGCACAGUCGCACGCACAGGGGUAAAAACGAGUAUAUGCAGAUUAAAAUAAAAGAAUAUCAAUUGUUAAACUGUACGAAAAUAAAUUGGAACACGCAUAUUGAAAACUUCUGCGCAACAUAGCAUGGCUUCUUCACACGGCUUUUACGAGCGUUCCGACACGUUGCUUCGAAACCCUUUUAUCCUUCGAUCGAAUAGACCAUAGAUGGCGUAAUAGGCUUCCGAGGAAACGCCUGAAAAACCAUUGAUUCGUUUAUUAAAAUAUUGAAAUACACAUUAAAUAUGGGUAAAUUACAGGUAGAAAUCAUCAAAGCUAUUGAAAAAUGCUCAAUAUUUAUCGUCGCAUAGAUGCCAAUAAUCGAUUUAGGAAAAUCACGCUUAUUUUAUUCGAUAUAAGUGAUUAACAAAAUAUUAUUCCAGCAUUAUUCGAAUAAUUAAAUAAUGUAUACAUCGAAAAUUGCAAUAAGUAAAUAUUCAUUGAUUACGUUUGAUCAUUCGAAUGUCGUAAAUCUGAAGUGUUUGAGACGAAGCGUGAAUAAUCACUGCGAUCGUAUGUAGAGAAAGAUCGAAUUGGAGUCGAAGGCAAUGGAGAUCCUAAAAACAAAUACCUAUAAAAACUUGGAACACGUAUUAACGAUACAAGCGAAGUAAAGAUUCGAAUGAAAACAUUCUAGCAGGGAAUUCUCGUCAAAAGUAUUAAGUAAAAAUUACAAAUGCAAUAUUAAAAGGAGAUCUUUACAAAAGGAGGCAGAUUUGCAUAAAUCUCAUUUAAAAUUUACAAAUAAAAUAUACAAUUUACAAGAAAGUAAUCUACGUAGCGUACAGUAAGUGACAAUUUAUCAUAGAUGCAACGACUUCUGUUUUAAACGCAACUGUUAGAUUUUUUAAUGAUGUAAUCUAACUAUACAGUUCUACGGUGAAAAAACAAUGUCUGGACCAACUGAGAAUGUACGAUAAAACUAUUAAAAUGCUUUAUACCUGUGAAAUAGCUCUUUUGAGAGAUAAAGAGGGCCUUGAAAAAGAUUAUGCUAUUAUUCAGGAUCAGCUUUUCGAACAACUUAUUUUGUAUAAUCAGUUGAAAGAAGAACGGGAAACGAAUGCAAUGAGAGCUUCUUUAGCAAAGCUAGAACAUUUUCGUUUAAAUCGUGCCGCAAAAAUUAUCCAGCAGAGUUGGAGAUCUUACUGUCAACGUGCAUUCUCAAGGAGAAAAAAAGGCAGAAAAUAAUACGUUUACGCGGCUUUCGUGUUCCAAACUUAAUGUACUCUUAGUAUAUAUAUAGUUGUCAAUUAUGUUACAUCAAUUGUGAUCAUUUAUACGAUAGUAUAGAAAGAUAAUGACGUAAUUUCCGUCGCCUAGAGGUUCUAGAAGAAAGCCGCCGCCUGUUUGAUCGUAACCAUGUCGCAGCAUGAAAAAUGACAUCGCUCGAGACAUUUACAGCCGUCUACCGUCGCGGUAUCGUUUCCGAUGUUGCGACAUUGUCGCGACCGAGCAGGUUAGCGACUUUCCUUUCGGACCUUUAACGAGAGGAUAACUCUCUAUUAGGCACGGAUAUAUUAUAUACAUUAUUCGGUAUUAUGCUGUCACGACUUGAUAAUUAUUUUUCAAUGAAUAAUUACUACGAUGCGACUGCAUCGAUCGAUUUCAGCUUUCUGACUUUUUCACCGUGUAUGGUCUUGAUUUCGACUGUACUAACUGUACAUGUACUCGCGUUUGAUUUUACAUUUAAGAGAAUUCACGCCUUUCUUUGAUAUCCAUUGAACGUGCACGCGUUAUUAUUACGUGUUGUUGUUGCAAUAUUAUUAUUUAUUCUUUCAAAGAUAUACACUUGAAAUAACGUGAAUACAUUAGCUCGAAGAACUACAAUGAAACGACUGCAACGAGGGAAGAAUUGCAGUGAAAUGAAACAUGUAAUGGAAAGAAUGGAAUAGGAAUAGGAAUGGGAAUGGGAAUGGGAAUGGGAAUGGGAAUGGGA
Nomia melanderi (Alkali bee) is the source of this 2267-nucleotide non-coding RNA. NCBI's taxonomy places the organism in Eukaryota, Metazoa, Arthropoda, Insecta, Hymenoptera, Halictidae. The record is from RefSeq and is a predicted model, not a curated record.